This is a long non-coding RNA of Hemicordylus capensis (graceful crag lizard), 1220 nucleotides long. RefSeq lists it as uncharacterized. NCBI's taxonomy places the organism in Eukaryota, Metazoa, Chordata, Lepidosauria, Squamata, Cordylidae. The record is from RefSeq and is a predicted model, not a curated record. The transcript is spliced from 4 exons.
CUGUCCUUCAUGCAAGAAGGAAGCCCACACAGCCCGUUCUCCCUCCUCUCUUCAGUCUCAAUGACUGCAGAGAGCCUGCUCUACAUUACAUUUGAAUUUGGACAGGAGAGUGGGACUGGGCAAACAAGCUGCUCUGGGAGCUGUGGACAUGGUCUAUAAUACAGCAUAAAAAGCUACAGCUAAGAAGAAAAGAAUGAGACACCCAGGUCCUGGUCACCAGUUGCCAUGUUUGUCACCGGGUGCUGUGGCUAUGGAGACUGUGAUCUGUAAAUGUGCCACUCUGCACAGCACACUAGAGGAUGGCUUGCUCAACAUGGCUUGAAUGGGACUUGCCCUCCCUCCUUCUUCCUUGUGGCCAGUCAGAGGGCAUCUGUGAUGUAAUGAGAUUUUCCCUACUGAUUACAGUGUGGUGCAUUGUGGGCAGUCUCUCCCAAUUCUCAGAAGACCUUCCCUAAUCCCAGUUGUUGGCAGUCAAGAUCAUCUGGCUGACACAGGAGGAUCCCUGAGCUACUGGCUUCUCUGAUGGUGACCUUGGACCACGCCUUGGACGGAUGAGCUUGUGACAGCUGCAGCUGCUUGCAGCCAUGGCUGCCACACUUUGGGGAGCCCGGGGAGGGGAGGGGAGGGGAGGGGAGGGGGAAUCCCCAGGAUGCACCACCACUCAUGCAGUGCAUCCUGAUAGUUCUGAGGGCUGGGACAAUACAUCGCAGCCCCUGGCCCUCCCCGCUGCCUGGCUGAGCAGGUAAUCAUCUGGACACACAGGGAGCACACCCAGCAGCACACACUGGAUCAUCUGCAGGGAAGGUGAGUAUAACCCCGCAGCGCACUCUGGAGACCUUCUCACUGGUUGUGAGAAGAGGCUGUAUGACCUCUUACUAAGAGACUACAGUGAUAACUCAAGGAAGUCUAGGACUCACUCCCUGUAUCUGUUGUAUUCCAGACAGGUUUGCAAUGUCUGCUCUUCAUUGUCACUAUUCAGCAAUAUCAUUUCUCACAUUCAAGGAAACUGUUGUUAGCGUCCUUGAUUUAAAACAUUAUACUUGACAGAUCUAAAUAUUGCCCUGGCAUAAAAGAAACUCAAAUAACUUAAAAACCUCUUCUGCUGCAAGAAUUUAUUUUGUAUUGCUAGUCCAAAUCCUUUUGGGCUAACAGUUGAUGGGUAUGAGAGCAGACAAAUGUGGGAUUUUGACUUGACAGUUAUGUUUAAGCAUACAAUUAGC